AUUGAACGCUGACGGCAUGCUUUACACAUGCAAGUCGGACGGCAGCACAGAGAAGCUUGCUUCUUGGGUGGCGAGUGGCGAACGGGUGAGUAAUAUAUCGGAACGUACCGAGUAAUGGGGGAUAACUAAUCGAAAGAUUAGCUAAUACCGCAUAUUCUCUGAGGAGGAAAGCAGGGGACCUUCGGGCCUUGCGUUAUUCGAGCGGCCGAUAUCUGAUUAGCUAGUUGGUGGGGUAAAGGCCUACCAAGGCGACGAUCAGUAGCGGGUCUGAGAGGAUGAUCCGCCACACUGGGACUGAGACACGGCCCAGACUCCUACGGGAGGCAGCAGUGGGGAAUUUUGGACAAUGGGCGCAAGCCUGAUCCAGCCAUGCCGCGUGUCUGAAGAAGGCCUUCGGGUUGUAAAGGACUUUUGUCAGGGAAGAAAAGGCUGUUGCUAAUAUCAAUAGCUGAUGACGGUACCUGAAGAAUAAGCACCGGCUAACUACGUG
Molecule: ribosomal RNA, 490 nt
Filed under: uncultured bacterium
Lineage: Bacteria
Description: partial 16S ribosomal RNA
Rfam family: Bacterial small subunit ribosomal RNA
Source: RNAcentral